GGGGUUGUGGCUUGGUGGUAGAGUACUCACCUCACACGUGUGAGGCACUGGGUUCGAUACUCAGCACCACA
Molecule: transfer RNA, 71 nt
Filed under: Marmota monax (woodchuck)
Lineage: Eukaryota; Metazoa; Chordata; Mammalia; Rodentia; Sciuridae
Description: tRNA.Val
Rfam family: tRNA
About the family: Transfer RNA (tRNA) molecules are approximately 80 nucleotides in length. Their secondary structure includes four short double-helical elements and three loops (D, anti-codon, and T loops).
Source: RNAcentral